UCAGAUUGAACGCUGGCGGCAUGCUUUACACAUGCAAGUCGAACGGUAACAGGUCUUCGGAUGCUGACGAGUGGCGAACGGGUGAGUAAUGCAUCGGAACGUGCCCAGUCGUGGGGGAUAACGCAGCGAAAGCUGUGCUAAUACCGCAUACGAUCUAUGGAUGAAAGCGGGGGAUCGCAAGACCUCGCGCGAUUGGAGCGGCCGAUGUCAGAUUAGCUAGUUGGUGGGGUAAAGGCCCACCAAGGCGACGAUCUGUAGCUGGUCUGAGAGGACGACCAGCCACACUGGGACUGAGACACGGCCCAGACUCCUACGGGAGGCAGCAGUGGGGAAUUUUGGACAAUGGGCGCAAGCCUGAUCCAGCAAUGCCGCGUGCAGGAAGAAGGCCUUCGGGUUGUAAACUGCUUUUGUACGGAACGAAAAGGUCUGGGUUAAUACCCUGGGCUCAUGACGGUACCGUAAGAAUAAGCACCGGCUAACUACGUGCCAGCAGCCGCGGUAAUA
Molecule: ribosomal RNA, 504 nt
Filed under: uncultured bacterium
Lineage: Bacteria
Description: bacterial SSU rRNA
Rfam family: Bacterial small subunit ribosomal RNA
Source: RNAcentral